Molecule: ribosomal RNA, 2235 nt
Filed under: Triticum aestivum (bread wheat)
Lineage: Eukaryota; Viridiplantae; Streptophyta; Magnoliopsida; Poales; Poaceae
Description: partial small subunit ribosomal RNA
Source: RNAcentral
AUGCAGGUGUUGUUGCAGCUUGGCCUCAGCCUUGUACUGCUUGCACCACAAUAUACUACUACAGCCGCGGCACCUAGCUCCCAGUGCCAGAGGCAAUGCGGCAACGUUGACAUACCAUACCCAUUCGGCAUCGGCGUGAACUGCUCACUCUCGAAACGGUUCACAAUCAAUUGCACGGUCCAAGAUGGCAUUCACAAGCCAUUCCGGGGCGACUUUGAGGUCCUUGAUAUUUCCUUGACUCACGCCACGAUCCGGAUGCUGAAUUACAUCUUGGGGUUCUGCUAUAACACCUCUACCAGAAGCAUGGAGUCCGUCGGCCGAUACGGUCGGCGUAUCCAAAUCCGAUCCGGACCUUCUUCUCCCCUCCGGCUCUCUGAUGCCAGGAACAAGUUCACGGUCAUUGGGUGCAACGCCCUUGCCUUCAUAUCUGACAAUGACACAGGCUACCAGGGCCUGGGUGUUGCAACAUGUCGUGACCCGUUAGAGUUGGUCGACGGUUCUUGCUCCGGGAUGGGUUGCUCUCAGACCACGAUACCAAACAAGAUUUACAACUAUGAAGUAGGCUUCUCGACAUUCGCUAACACAAGUAGGAUCUGGAGAUUCAACCGAUGCAGCUAUGCGGUGCUGAUGGAGGCAGCUGAGUUCAAGUUCGACGUCUCGUACAUAAACACCACAAAGUUCAACGACACAAAUGCUGGGCGGGCGCCUGUGGUAUAUGACUGGGCAAUAAGGGAUGUCGUGCGAUGUGAUGUCGCCCGACGGAACAAGACGGGCACAUAUGCAUGUCUCAGCAGCAACAGCAAGUGCGUCGAUUCAACCAAUGAUCAAGGGUAUAUGUGCAAUUGCACACAUGGGUAUGAAGGCAACCCUUAUCUUCAAGACGGAUGCACAGAUGUUAACGAAUGCAACUACAACCCAUGCCCUUCAGACGGCUUUUGCCACAAUAUUAUUGAAGAACACUGGUGUUCUUGCCGAGUAGGAAAAAGAUAUGUCAAGCAAAGCAACACAUGCAACCCUGACACCGGCUUCAUAAUAGGAGUUACAAUGGGAUUAUUUGGUCUAAUGGUUUUUAUUGUGAUUACUAUCUUCUGGGGACAACUGAUAAUUCAAAAGAGAAAAUUGAACAAAGUUAAGCAAGAGUAUUUUCGUCAACAUGGAGGCUUGCUUUUGUUUGAUAGGAUGAAAUCAGAUAAAGGUCUUGCUUUCACCGUAUAUUCACUAGCAGAGCUAAUUCAUGCCACUGAUAACUUUGACAAUAGUAGAAUACUCGGAAAAGGAGGCCAUGGAACAGUCUAUAAAGGGAUAAUAAAGAACAUGCCAAUUGCAGUUAAAAGAUGUGCAUUAGUCGAUGAUAGACAGAAGAAGGAAUUUGGCCAAGAGAUGCUCAUUUUGUCCCAAAUCAACCACAAGAACAUUGUCAAACUCUUGGGUUGUUGCCUUGAGGUGGAAGUUCCAAUUCUAGUGUAUGAGUUUGUACCACAUGGUACACUAUUCGAGCUAAUCCAUGGCAAGAACCACGCAUUGCAAAUAUCCUUCAACACUCUCUUAAGGAUUGCUCAUGAAGCAGCUGAAGGACUUUGCUUCCUGCAUUCGUACGCGUCUCCUCCAAUAAUUCAUGGUGAUGUGAAAACUUCCAACAUCCUACUUGAUGACAACUACAUGGCCAAAGUGUCGGACUUUGGAGCCUCCAUACUAGCACCGUCUGACAAAGAGCAGUUUGUCACAAUGGUUCAAGGUACUUGUGGAUACCUUGAUCCUGAAUACAUGCAAACAUGCCAGUUAACAGAGAAAAGUGAUGUGUAUAGCUUUGGAGUUAUCCUUCUAGAGAUCCUCACCGGUCAGUUGCCACUAAAGCUCAAAGGAUCCGAGACACAAAGGAGUUUGUCAUCAAUUUUUUUGUCUGCUAUGAAAGAAAAUAAUCUUGAUGCAGUGUUAGUGAGCCAUGUGAAAGGUGAAGAGAGCAUGGAGUUACUGAGAGGACUUGCAGACCUUGCUAAAAAAUGCCUAGAUAUGUGCGGUGACAAUAGGCCCUUUAUGAAAGAGGUUGCUGAUGAGCUCAAUAGAUUGAGGAAGCUUUCAAUGCAUCCUUGGGUACGGAUUGACUUGGAGAUGGAUGCUGAAAGCCUUCUUGGUGGAGAAUCUACUAGCGGUUAUGAAAUAGAAUUAAAUGGGUAUCCUAUGGGUGAAAGUGAGAACCAACCCAUAAACCCACGAAGUUCCUAUUAUGCAAGGUGA